GACGAACGCUGGCGGCGUGCUUAACACAUGCAAGUCGAACGGAAAGGCCCUGCUUUUGUGGGGUGCUCGAGUGGAGAACGGGUGAGUAACACGUGAGUAACCUGCCCUUGACUUUGGGAUAACUUCAGGAAACUGGGGCUAAUACCGGAUAGGAGCUCCUGCUGCAUGGUGGGGGUUGGAAAGUUUCGGUGGUUGGGGAUGGACUCGCGGCUUAUCAGCUUGUUGGUGGGGUAGUGGCUUACCAAGGCUUUGACGGGUAGCCGGCCUGAGAGGGUGACCGGCCACAUUGGGACUGAGAUACGGCCCAGACUCCUACGGGAGGCAGCAGUGGGGAAUAUUGCACAAUGGGCGGAAGCCUGAUGCAGCAACGCCGCGUGCGGGAUGACGGCCUUCGGGUUGUAAACCGCUUUCGCCUGUGACGAAGCGUGAGUGACGGUAAUGGGUAAAGAAGCACCGGCUAACUACGUG
Molecule: ribosomal RNA, 468 nt
Filed under: uncultured bacterium
Lineage: Bacteria
Description: partial 16S ribosomal RNA
Rfam family: Bacterial small subunit ribosomal RNA
Source: RNAcentral